Idiomarinaceae bacterium HL-53 is the source of this 73-nucleotide non-coding RNA. Lineage: Bacteria; Pseudomonadati; Pseudomonadota; Gammaproteobacteria; Alteromonadales; Idiomarinaceae. The record is from Rfam.
GCCCAGAUAGCUCAGUUGGUAGAGCAGGGGAUUGAAAAUCCCCGUGUCGGUGGUUCGAUUCCGCCUCUGGGCA